Molecule: long non-coding RNA, 418 nt
Organism: Rhagoletis pomonella (apple maggot)
Lineage: Eukaryota; Metazoa; Arthropoda; Insecta; Diptera; Tephritidae
Exons: 3
Source: RefSeq, a predicted model, not a curated record
UAAUAUGUAGCAGCUAAUAUGGUGGGCAUAUCGAGAAUUGAUAAGACGUUUUAGCUCCCUUAGGCCCCUGUCACACGGUCAGUAAUUUUUGUGGUGAACGCUUAUUAUGACGCAAGAAAAUAUUUUUAUUUUGUUUUAAGCACCGAGAGUGAAGGCAGAGCGAAUACGUUUUCGAUGCUCGCAUUAUGGGAGUACAAGAUGUACUGACGAAUGUAUGGAUCGCGUUUUGAAAGUGCUACAUGUUCAAUAUUUAUUGACGGUAUUGCGAUCCGCGAUCCAGAUUUCAAAAUUUUUAGAAAUUUUGCGAUAUGGAUUACAAUCCAUCAAUACUACAUACAUGCUACGCCGUCAAUAAAUAUCGCGAUAUUUGGAUCACGUCAAUAAAUACUGACCGUGUGACAGAGCCCUUAUAACAUGU